AUUGCAGGCUGCAACUCGCCUGCAUGAAGUCGGAAUUGCUAGUAAUCGUAGGUCAGCAUACUACGGUGAAUACGUUCCCGGGCCUUGUACACACCGCCCGUCAAACCAUGAGAGUUGGCAACACCCGAAGUCGGUAGUCUAACCGCAAGGAGGACGCUGCCGAAGGUAGGAUUGGCGACUGGGGUGAAGUCGUAACAAGGUAUC
This 204-nucleotide ribosomal RNA is filed under the name uncultured bacterium. RNAcentral describes it as "partial 16S ribosomal RNA". It matches the Rfam family "Bacterial small subunit ribosomal RNA", at positions 1297 to 1500 of the family's 1533-position model. The record is from RNAcentral.